CCUGGAUCUGCCACAGCGAGACAGCUCGACUUUUAAUCAACCAACAUCCAAAUUAGGGAAUUGUUUACACGCCAUGGAGUAUAAACACACAUUUAAUCCGGACGGUUCACCAAAGAAACGACGAUUUCGCACGACCUUUACAGCCAAACAGCUUCAAGAGCUAGAGAAAGUGUUCCGCGUGACACAUUACCCGGAUGUAAAUACACGAGAUGACUUAAGCCAUAAAACGGAUCUCAGUGAAGAAAGAGUUCAGAUUUGGUUUCAAAACAGACGAGCAAAAUGGAGGAAAUAUGAACGCCUGGGGAAUUUUGGCGGGCUUCAUGAAAUCAAGGCACUCAA
Molecule: long non-coding RNA, 339 nt
Organism: Patella vulgata (common limpet)
Lineage: Eukaryota; Metazoa; Mollusca; Gastropoda; Patellidae
Exons: 3
Source: RefSeq, a predicted model, not a curated record